This 239-nucleotide ribosomal RNA is filed under the name uncultured bacterium. RNAcentral describes it as "partial 16S ribosomal RNA". It matches the Rfam family "Bacterial small subunit ribosomal RNA", at positions 524 to 762 of the family's 1533-position model. The record is from RNAcentral.
UACGGAGGGUCCAAGCGUUAUCCGGAUUCAUUGGGUUUAAAGGGUCCGUAGGCGGGAAAAUAAGUCAGUGGUGAAAGCCUACAGCUUAACUGUAGAACUGCCAUUGAAACUGUUUUUCUUGAAUUUAGAUGAAGUGGGCGGAAUAUAUCAUGUAGCGGUGAAAUGCAUAGAUAUGAUAUAGAACACCGAUUGCGAAGGCAGCUCACUAAACUAACAUUGACGCUGAGGGACGAAAGCGU